AUAUAUAUGAUUUUAAGAGCAUCC
RNAcentral lists this non-coding RNA (24 nucleotides) under Arabidopsis thaliana (thale cress). Lineage: Eukaryota; Viridiplantae; Streptophyta; Magnoliopsida; Brassicales; Brassicaceae. The record is from RNAcentral.